This 481-nucleotide ribosomal RNA is filed under the name uncultured bacterium. RNAcentral describes it as "partial 16S ribosomal RNA". It matches the Rfam family "Bacterial small subunit ribosomal RNA", at positions 28 to 507 of the family's 1533-position model. The record is from RNAcentral.
GAUGAACGCUGGCGGCGUGCCUAACACAUGCAAGUCGAACGGAGAUUACGGACGGAUGUUUUCGGAUGGAAGACUGUAAUUCUUAGUGUCGGACGUGUGAGUAACGCGUGUGCAACCUGCCCUAUACCGGGGGAUAGCAGCUGGAACCGGCUGGUAAGACCGCCUAAGUCGGCGAGACCGCAUGGUUUUGCCGGGUGAUGAGCAUUCAGGUAUAGGAUGGGCCCGCGUUCGAUUAGAAAGUAGGCAGGUAAAAAGCCUACCAUAGCAACGAUCGGUAGCCGGACUGAGAGGUACGACGGACACACUGAGGCGGGGACACGGCCCAAACUCCUACGGGAUGCAGCAGUGGGUGAUAUAGCAAAAUGGAGGAAGCGAUGAUGCAGCGACGACGGGUGAGUGAAGAAGUAUUUCGGUAUGAAAAGCGCAAGCAGCAGGGAAGAUGAUGACGGUACCUAACUAAGAAGCCCCGGCUAACUACGUG